AAAAUCCGUCGACUUUUUAAAUCGUGAGGGUUCAAGUCCCUAGCCGUUGACGCCCU
This 56-nucleotide transfer RNA is filed under the name Lachnaea filicaulis. RNAcentral's name for it is "tRNA-Leu(UAA)". Lineage: Eukaryota; Viridiplantae; Streptophyta; Magnoliopsida; Malvales; Thymelaeaceae. The record is from RNAcentral.